This 165-nucleotide ribosomal RNA is filed under the name uncultured bacterium. Its description in RNAcentral is "partial 16S rRNA". It matches the Rfam family "Bacterial small subunit ribosomal RNA", at positions 355 to 511 of the family's 1533-position model. The record is from RNAcentral.
UAGGGAAUCUUCGGCAAUGGGGGCAACCCUGACCGAGCGACGCCGCGUGAGUGAAGAAGGUUUUCGGAUCGUAAAGCUCUGUUGUAAGAGAAGAACGUGUGUGAGAGUGGAAAGUUCACACAAUGACGGUAACUUACCAGAAAGGGACGGCUAACUACGUACCAG